Molecule: ribosomal RNA, 542 nt
Filed under: Citrobacter freundii
Lineage: Bacteria; Pseudomonadati; Pseudomonadota; Gammaproteobacteria; Enterobacterales; Enterobacteriaceae
Description: bacterial SSU rRNA
Rfam family: Bacterial small subunit ribosomal RNA
Source: RNAcentral
UCCUUGGGUGACGAGUGGCGGACGGGUGAGUAAUGUCUGGGAAACUGCCCGAUGGAGGGGGAUAACUACUGGAAACGGUAGCUAAUACCGCAUAACGUCGCAAGACCAAAGAGGGGGACCUUCGGGCCUCUUGCCAUCGGAUGUGCCCAGAUGGGAUUAGCUAGUAGGUGGGGUAACGGCUCACCUAGGCGACGAUCCCUAGCUGGUCUGAGAGGAUGACCAGCCACACUGGAACUGAGACACGGUCCAGACUUCUACGGGAGGCAGCAGUGGGGAAUAUUGCACAAUGGGCGCAAGCCUGAUGCAGCCAUGCCGCGUGUAUGAAGAAGGCCUUCGGGUUGUAAAGUUCUUUCAGCGAGGAGGAAGGUGUUGUGGUUAAUAACCGCAGCAUUUGACGUUACUCGCAGAAGAAGCACCGGCUAACUCCGUGCCAGCAGCCGCAGGUAAUACGGAGGGUGCAAGCGUUAAUCGGAAUUACUGGGCGUAAAGCGCACGCAGGCGGUCUGUCAAGUCGGAUGUGAAAUCCCCGGGCUCAACCUGGG